Molecule: ribosomal RNA, 581 nt
Filed under: actinobacterium 00YIY
Lineage: Bacteria; Bacillati; Actinomycetota; Actinomycetes
Description: partial 16S ribosomal RNA
Rfam family: Bacterial small subunit ribosomal RNA
Source: RNAcentral
CCUAUAGGUUGGUAGCGAACGGGGGGGGCASGGUUGGGAACCCACAAGUAGUGGGGGAGGCAGGGUGAGGAUAAGCGAAUCCCAUACAGGAUCUCGGGGUGAACGGGGGGGGGCGACGGGGAUAGACGGUCUUGAUCGGCCGUUUUCUGAUACCCCCGCCGGUGGGGUUAGAGGCUACGAAGGCGACUAUCCGUGGCUGGUAUGAGAAGACAAUCUGCCAGGCUGGUCCUGAAACACGGCCCAGACUCCUACGGGAGGCAGCUAUGGGGAGUUUUGAAAGGGGGGCGAAACCCUGAUCCAGCAGCCUGACGUGUGAGAGGAAGGCCUUCGGGUUGUAAAGCACUUUUGUAAAGAAAGAAAUGGCCUGGGAAAAUACCGCGGGACGAUCACUGUACCGGAAGACUAAGCACCGGCUAACUACGUGCCAGCAGCAGCUGUAAUACGUCGGGUGAGUGCGUUAAUCGGAAUUACUGUGGCGUAAAUCUUGCGCAAGGCAGUUUUGUAAGACGGGCUUGUAAUCCCCAUGCUUAACUCGGCGAAUGGCGCUUGGUGACUGCCAAGGCUAGAGUAUGACACAUGGG